RNAcentral lists this ribosomal RNA (274 nucleotides) under uncultured bacterium. Its description in RNAcentral is "partial 16S ribosomal RNA". It matches the Rfam family "Bacterial small subunit ribosomal RNA", at positions 523 to 796 of the family's 1533-position model. The record is from RNAcentral.
CUACGGAGGGUGCAAGCGUUAUUGGGAAUCACUGGGCGUAAAGGACGCGUAGGCGGGUUGGCAAGUCAGAUGAGAAAUCCUACAGCUUAACUGUAGAACUGCAUUUGAAACUGCUAACCUAGAGUAUGGGAGGGGGAGAUGGAAUUAGUGGUGUAGGGGUAAAAUCCGUAGAUAUCACUAGGAAUACCGAAAGCGAAGGCGAUCUCCUGGAACAUAACUGACGCUAAGGCGUGAAAGCGUGGGGAGCAAACAGGAUUAGAAACCCCAGUAGUCC